GUGCUUGCUUCGACAGCACAUAGUAUACUAAAAUCGGAACGAUAUAGAGAUUACCAUGGCCCCUGCACAAGAAUGACAAGCAAAUUCGUGAAGCGUUCCAUAUUUAA
Molecule: small nuclear RNA, 107 nt
Organism: Cebus imitator (Panamanian white-faced capuchin)
Lineage: Eukaryota; Metazoa; Chordata; Mammalia; Primates; Cebidae
Source: Ensembl